This 585-nucleotide ribosomal RNA is filed under the name uncultured bacterium. RNAcentral describes it as "bacterial SSU rRNA". It matches the Rfam family "Bacterial small subunit ribosomal RNA", at positions 31 to 609 of the family's 1533-position model. The record is from RNAcentral.
GAACGCUGGCGGCGUGCCUAACACAUGCAAGUCGAGCGGUAACAGGUGUAGCAAUACAUGCUGACGAGCGGCGAACGGGUGAGUAAUGCUUCGGAAUCUGCCCAAUGGUGGGGAAUAACCAGCCGAAAGGUUGGCUAAUACCGCAUAAGUCCUACGGGGGAAAGCAGGGGAUCGCAAGACCUUGCGCCGAUGGAUGAGCCGAAGUCGGAUUAGCUAGUUGGUAGGGUAACGGCCUACCAAGGCGACGAUCCGUAGCUGGUCUGAGAGGACGACCAGCCACACUGGGACUGAGACACGGCCCAGACUCCUACGGGAGGCAGCAGUGGGGAAUAUUGGACAAUGGGGGAAACCCUGAUCCAGCGACGCCGCGUGUGUGAAGAAGGCCUGCGGGUUGUAAAGCACUUUUAGUGGGGAUGAAAAGCUCAGGGCUAACACCUCUGGGUCUUGACCUAACCCAAAGAAAAAGCACCGGCUAACUCUGUGCCAGCAGCCGCGGUAAUACAGAGGGUGCGAGCGUUAAUCGGAAUUACUGGGCGUAAAGCGUGCGUAGACGGUUAUGUAAGUCGGGUGUGAAAGCCCCGGGCU